This 329-nucleotide unclassified non-coding RNA is filed under the name soil metagenome. RNAcentral describes it as "partial contains 5.8S ribosomal RNA, internal transcribed spacer 2, and large subunit ribosomal RNA". The stretch from base 1 to 120 matches the Rfam family "5.8S ribosomal RNA", at positions 35 to 154 of the family's 154-position model. The record is from RNAcentral.
GAUGAAGAACGUAGUGAAAUGCGAUACGUAAUGUGAAUUGCAGAAUUCAGUGAAUCAUCGAAUCUUUGAACGCACAUUGCGCCCCCUGGUAUUCCGGGGGGCAUGCCUGUUCGAGCGUCAUUACAACCCUCAAGCUCUGCUUGGUAUUGGGCCCCGCCAGUUCUGGCGGGCCCUAAAGUCAGUGGCGGUGCCUUCCGGCUCCGAGCGUAGUAAUUCUUCUCGCUCUGGAGACCCGGUUGUGUGCUUGCCAACAACCCCCAAUUUUUUAAGGUUGACCUCGGAUCAGGUAGGGAUACCCGCUGAACUUAAGCAUAUCAAUAAGCGGAGGA